UGCCAGUAGUCAUAUGCUUGUCUCAAAAGAUUAAGCCAUGCAAGUCUAAGUAUAAUUGUUUUACGGUGAAACUGCGAAUGGCUCAUUAAAUCAGUUAUAGUUUAUUUGAUGCUAUAGACCGCAAGGUCACUACAUGGAUAUCUGUAGUAACAUAGAGCUAAUACAUGCAAUAUAGUCUGACUUUUUGGAAGGACUAGCACUUAUUAGAUAUUAAACCGAUCCCAGCAAUGGGUUUUAUGGUGAUUCAUAGUAACUGAACAAAUCACAUGGUCUUGCACCGGUGAUGUUUCAUUCAAAUUUCUGCCCUAUCAACUAGAUGGUAGUAUAUAGGACUACCAUGGUUGUAACGGGUAACGGAGGAUUAGGGUUUGAUUCGGAGAAGGAGCAUGAGAAACGGCGUACUAUUCUAAGGAAAGCAGCAGGCGC
Molecule: ribosomal RNA, 426 nt
Filed under: uncultured eukaryote
Lineage: Eukaryota
Description: bacterial SSU rRNA
Rfam family: Eukaryotic small subunit ribosomal RNA
Source: RNAcentral